GACGAACGCUGGCGGCGUGCCUAACACAUGCAAGUCGAACGGAACUGUUUUGAAAGAUUUCUUCGGAAUGAAUUUGAUUUAGUUUAGUGGCGGACGGGUGAGUAACGCGUGAGUAACCUGCCUUCAAGAGGGGAAUAACAUUCUGAAAAGAAUGCUAAUACCGCAUGACAUAUCGGAACCACAUGGUUUUGAUAUCAAAGAUUUUAUCGCUUGAAGAUGGACUCGCGUCCGAUUAGUUAGUUGGUGGGGUAACGGCUCACCAAGACCGCGAUCGGUAGCCGGACUGAGAGGUUGAACGGCCACAUUGGGACUGAGACACGGCCCAGACUCCUACGGGAGGCAGCAGUGGGGGAUAUUGCGCAAUGGGGGCAACCCUGACGCAGCAACGCCGCGUGAAGGAUGAAGGUUUUCGGAUUGUAAACUUCUUUUAUUAAGGACGAAAAAUGACGGUACUUAAUGAAUAAGCUCCGGCUAACUACGUG
This 482-nucleotide ribosomal RNA is filed under the name uncultured bacterium. RNAcentral's name for it is "partial 16S ribosomal RNA". It matches the Rfam family "Bacterial small subunit ribosomal RNA", at positions 28 to 507 of the family's 1533-position model. The record is from RNAcentral.